CACGACUACGAGUUUGAUCAUGGCUCAGGACGAACGCUGGCGGUGUGCUUCACACAUGCAAGUCGAACGGAAUCUUCGGAUUCAGUGGCGGACGGGUGAGUAACACGUGGGAAUCUACUGAGUAGUGGGGGACAGCCCGGCGAAAGCCGGAUUAAUACCGCAUACGCCCUACGGGGAAAGGACGCAAGCCGCUAUUUAAUUGAGCCCGCGUAAGAUUAGCUAGUUGGUGAGGUAAAGGCUCACCAAGGCAACGAUCUUUAGCUGGUCUGAGAGGAUGGCCAGCCACAUCGGGACUGAGACACGGCCCGGACUCCUACGGGAGGCAGCAGUCGGGAAUAUUGGACAAUGGGCGCAAGCCUGAUCCAGCAAUACCGCGUGUGUGAAGAAGGCCUGCGGGUUGUAAAGCACUUUCAGUGGGGAAGAUAAUGACGUUACCCACAGAAGAAGCACCGGCUAACUCCGUG
This 464-nucleotide ribosomal RNA is filed under the name uncultured bacterium. Its description in RNAcentral is "bacterial SSU rRNA". It matches the Rfam family "Bacterial small subunit ribosomal RNA", at positions 1 to 507 of the family's 1533-position model. The record is from RNAcentral.